CGUAUUAGGGCAGCUUCGGCGCUCUUUACACACUCACCCUUUGCCUAUGCGUACCUCUGAUAGCUUCCUCGGCGGGCUCGCCCCGCCGAUAGGAACCCACAAAACCCCUUGCAUCGUACACGAAAACUUCUGAUACCAACCUUAAAUUAUCA
Molecule: unclassified non-coding RNA, 152 nt
Filed under: uncultured Periconia
Lineage: Eukaryota; Fungi; Ascomycota; Sordariomycetes; Microascales; Halosphaeriaceae
Description: sequence contains ITS1
Source: RNAcentral